AGUGACGUCAAGUCCUCAUGGCCUUUAUGCUUAGGGCUACACACGUGCUACAAUGGGUGGUACAAAGAGAAGCCAACUCGCGAGAGUGCGCAAAUCUCAAAAAGCCAAUCCUAAGUUCGGAUUGAAGUCUGCAACUCGACUUCAUGAAGCUGGAAUCGCUAGUAAUCGCGGAUCAGCAUGCCGCGGUGAAUACGUUCCCGGGCCUU
RNAcentral lists this ribosomal RNA (206 nucleotides) under uncultured Smithella sp. RNAcentral's name for it is "partial 16S ribosomal RNA". It matches the Rfam family "Bacterial small subunit ribosomal RNA", at positions 1178 to 1382 of the family's 1533-position model. The record is from RNAcentral. Lineage: Bacteria; Pseudomonadati; Thermodesulfobacteriota; Syntrophia; Syntrophales; Smithellaceae.